UACGGAGGAUGCGAGCGUUAUCCGGAUUUAUUGGGUUUAAAGGGUGCGCAGGCGGGAUUGUAAGUCAGCGGUGAAAUCUCCAUGCUCAACGUGGAACUUGCCGUUGAAACUGUGAUUCUUGAGUAUAGAUGAAGUAGGCGGAAUUCGUUGUGUAGCGGUGAAAUGCAUAGAUAUAACGAGGAACUCCAAUUGCGUAGGCAGCUUACUAAGCUAUAACUGACGCUCAUGCACGAGAGCGUGGGUAUCCAACAGG
RNAcentral lists this ribosomal RNA (253 nucleotides) under uncultured bacterium. RNAcentral's name for it is "partial 16S ribosomal RNA". It matches the Rfam family "Bacterial small subunit ribosomal RNA", at positions 524 to 776 of the family's 1533-position model. The record is from RNAcentral.